AGUUUGAUCCUGGCUCAGAUUGAACGCUGGCGGCAUGCCUAACACAUGCAAGUCGAACGGUAACAGAACUAGCUUGCUAGUUGCUGACGAGUGGCGGACGGGUGAGUAAUAUAUAGGGAUCUGCCUAAUAGUGGGGGACAACGUGUGGAAACGCACGCUAAUACCGCAUACGCUCUACGGAGGAAAGUGGGGGCUCUUCGGACCUCAUGCUAUUAGAUGAACCUAUAUCGGAUUAGCUUGUUGGUGAGGUAAUGGCUCACCAAGGCGACGAUCCGUAGCUGGUUUGAGAGAAUGAUCAGCCACACUGGGACUGAGACACGGCCCAGACUCCUACGGGAGGCAGCAGUGGGGAAUAUUGCACAAUGGACGAAAGUCUGAUGCAGCAAUGCCGCGUGUGUGAAGAAGGCCUUCGGGUUGUAAAGCACUUUCAGGUGUGAGGAAAAGCAGUCUAUUAAUACUAGACUGCCGUGACGUUAACAUCAGAAGAAGGACCGGCUAACUCCGUGCCAGCAGCCGCGGUAAUACGGAGGGUCCAAGCGUUAAUCGGAAUUACUGGGCGUAAAGCGCGCGUAGGCGGAUAUUUAAGUCAGAUGUGAAAUCCCUGGGCUCAACCUAGGAACUGCAUUUGAAACUGGCUAUCUAGAGUAUGGUAGAGGUGAGUGGAAUUUCAGGUGUAGCGGUGAAAUGCGUAGAGAUCUGAAGGAACAUCAGUGGCGAAGGCGACUCACUGGGCCAUUACUGACGCUGAGGUGCGAAAGCGUGGGUAGCAAACAGGAUUAGAUACCCUGGUAGUCCACGCCCUAAACGAUGUCAACUAGGUGUGUGAGAGUCUAACUCUUGCGUAUCGAAGCUAACGCGAUAAGUUGACCGCCUGGGGAGUACGGUCGCAAGACUAAAACUCAAAUGAAUUGACGGGGGCCCGCACAAGCGGUGGAGCAUGUGGUUUAAUUCGAUGCAACGCGAAGAACCUUACCUGGCCUUGACAUGUACGGAAGAUUAGAGAGAUCUGAUUGUGCCUUCGGGAACCGUAACACAGGUGCUGCAUGGCUGUCGUCAGCUCGUG
RNAcentral lists this ribosomal RNA (1063 nucleotides) under uncultured bacterium. RNAcentral describes it as "bacterial SSU rRNA". It matches the Rfam family "Bacterial small subunit ribosomal RNA", at positions 10 to 1064 of the family's 1533-position model. The record is from RNAcentral.